UGCAGGCAUUCUUACUUGUCUUGAUGGGUAUAUGAACAUAGCUAUGGAGCAAACAGAAGAGUACGUAAAUGGCCAGCUAAAGAACAAAUAUGGCGAUGCUUUUAUCCGUGGAAACAACGUUCUUUACAUCAGCACAACGCAAGGGAAUUUGGCAGAUGGAGCCUAGCUCUGUUUCAUCACCAUGGAAUGAAUGGGGAUCAUCUUCUUCUACCUCUGGCAUUUGACAAUGUUAGGAUUUAUAGCAACCAGAGAUUUUAUUAUUCAUCUCUGAAUCAAUUCGAAAUGUCUUUUUCUUCUUCUUACAACUCUGCUACACUCAGUCUGUGUCUGUGAAUCAUCUCCAAAAUUCUGAGAAAGAGUUCGACUUGUGUUUGAUAACAAGAAAAAUCUUAAUCAUCGCUGUUCCCUUAUUA
Camelina sativa (false flax) is the source of this 413-nucleotide non-coding RNA. NCBI's taxonomy places the organism in Eukaryota, Viridiplantae, Streptophyta, Magnoliopsida, Brassicales, Brassicaceae. The record is from RefSeq and is a predicted model, not a curated record.